UAGGGAAUCUUCGGCAAUGGGGGGAACCCUGACCGAGCAACGCCGCGUGAGUGAAGAAGGUUUUCGGAUCGUAAAGCUCUGUUGUUAAGGAAGAACGAGUGUGCGAAUGGAAAGUUCAUACUGUGACGGUACUUAACCAGAAAGGGACGGCUAACUACGUGCCAGCAGCCGCGGUAAUACGUAGGUCCCGUGCGUUGUCCGGAUUUAUUGGGCGUAAAGCGAGCGCAGGCGGUUAGAAAAGUCUGAAGUGAAAGGCAGUGGCUCAACAAUUGUAGGCGUUGGAAGCUGUUUAACGUGAGUGCAGAGGGGGAGAGUGGAAUUCCAUGUGUAGCGGUGAAAUGCGUGGAUAUAUGGAGGAACACCGGUGGCGAAAGCGGCUCUCUGGUCUGUAACUGACGCUGAGGCAAGAAAGCGUGGGUAGCAAACAGG
RNAcentral lists this ribosomal RNA (429 nucleotides) under Bacteroidota bacterium. RNAcentral's name for it is "Bacteroidetes bacterium partial 16S ribosomal RNA". It matches the Rfam family "Bacterial small subunit ribosomal RNA", at positions 355 to 776 of the family's 1533-position model. The record is from RNAcentral. Lineage: Bacteria; Pseudomonadati; Bacteroidota.